This 372-nucleotide ribosomal RNA is filed under the name uncultured organism. RNAcentral's name for it is "partial 16S ribosomal RNA". It matches the Rfam family "Bacterial small subunit ribosomal RNA", at positions 527 to 896 of the family's 1533-position model. The record is from RNAcentral.
GUAGGUGGCAAGCGUUGUCCGGAAUUAUUGGGCGUAAAGCGCGCGCAGGCGGUUCUUUAAGUCUGAUGUGAAAGCCCUCGGGCUCAACCGUGGAGGGUCAUUGGAAACUGGAGAACUUGAGUACAGAAGAGGAAAGCGGAAUUCCACGUGUAGCGGUGAAAUGCGUAGAGAUGUGGAGGAACACCAGUGGCGAAGGCGGCUUUCUGGUCUGUAACUGACGCUGAGGCGCGAAGGCGUGGGGAGCAAACAGGAUUAGAUACCCUGGUAGUCCACGCCGUAAACGAUGAGUGCUAAGUGUUAGGGGGUUUCCGCCCCUUAGUGCUGCAGCUAACGCAUUAAGCACUCCGCCUGGGGAGUACGGCCGCAAGGCUG